ACACCCUGCCCAAAUUAUGUCAGCGCGUUUGAGAAGGCUAGGAGUUAUGCCGACAACCCGGCUGAGAAUGUGAUCACACCAGUGAUUGACACUACUUUUGACUCUUUGUGUGAGGCUUAUGACCUCUGUAAUUUGUAUUCAUGGGAGAAAGGCUUCGUCAUCCUAUAUGGGAAGAGCCGGCUGAAUCUCGAGAGGACACCCAGGUCUAUCUCGCGCACUACUGGAGGUACUGCAAUGGCCUGUACCUUGAGAGGCACAUUGGUGAGGUGA
RNAcentral lists this ribosomal RNA (270 nucleotides) under Triticum aestivum (bread wheat). RNAcentral describes it as "partial small subunit ribosomal RNA". Lineage: Eukaryota; Viridiplantae; Streptophyta; Magnoliopsida; Poales; Poaceae. The record is from RNAcentral.